AGAGUUUGAUCAUGGCUCAGGAUGAACGCUAGCGGCAGGCUUAAUACAUGCAAGUCGUGGGGCAGCAGGGGUAGCAAUACCCGCUGGCGACCGGCAAACGGGUGAGGAACAUGUACGCAACCUUCCUUUAACUGGAGAAUAGCCCCUCGAAAGAGGGAUUAAUACUCCGUAACAUAAUGAAGUGGCAUCACUUUAUUAUUAUAGCUCCGGCGGUUAAAGAUGGGCGUGCACCUGAUUAGAUAGUUGGCGGGGUAAUGGCCCACCAAGUCUACGAUCAGUAACUGGUGUGAGAGCACGACCAGUCACACGGGCACUGAGACACGGGUCCGACUCCUACGGGAGGCAGCAGUAAGGAAUAUUGGUCAAUGGGGGAAACCCUGAUCCAGCCAUGCCGCGUGAGUGAUGAAGGCCCUAGGGUUGUAAAACUCUUUCGGCGGGGACGAUAAUGACGGUACCCGCAGAAGAAGCUCCGGCUAACUUCGUGCCAGCCGCCGCGGUAAUAC
RNAcentral lists this ribosomal RNA (503 nucleotides) under uncultured bacterium. Its description in RNAcentral is "bacterial SSU rRNA". It matches the Rfam family "Bacterial small subunit ribosomal RNA", at positions 8 to 526 of the family's 1533-position model. The record is from RNAcentral.